UUUGAAGUCAGAUGCACCACAAGAAAAACCUAAGUGUUUGCUUUGGGUUUAAGUCCACACUCAGUUAAAUAGUUUGGGCUUAUAGUUUGAGUUUUUCUUGUUUAAUAGAUUCGGGUGUUUUAUGGCCUAGGAACAUCUUCCUAAGACAUUUGUAAUAGUCCCUCUUUUAUAGUAGUGAUUUGCUCGUCUUUCGUCCGUGGAUGUAGGUCAAUUAACCGAACCACGUAAAUAUGGUGUUCUUGUCGCUUUUAUUUUUUCCGCUUUAUUGUCUUUGUUGGGUUACCAAAAUUAUCCUUUGGUAAAUUUCCUG
RNAcentral lists this long non-coding RNA (310 nucleotides) under Musa acuminata (dwarf banana). Its description in RNAcentral is "long non-coding RNA (MACU_LNC005202)". The record is from RNAcentral. Lineage: Eukaryota; Viridiplantae; Streptophyta; Magnoliopsida; Zingiberales; Musaceae.